UUGAACGCUGGCGGCAGGCCUAACACCUGCCAGUCGAGCGGAUGAGUGGAGCUUUCUCCAUGAUUCAGCGGCGGACGGGUGAGUAAUGCCUAGGAAUCUGCCUGGUAGUGGGGGACAACGUUUCGAAAGGAACGCUAAUACCGCAUACGUCCUACGGGAGAAAGUGGGGGAUCUUCGGACCUCACGCUAUCAGAUGAGCCUAGGUCGGAUUAGCUAGUUGGUGAGGUAAAGGCUCACCAAGGCGACGAUCCGUAACUGGUCUGAGAGGAUGAUCAGUCACACUGGAACUGAGACACGGUCCAGACUCCUACGGGAGGCAGCAGUGGGGAAUAUUGGACAAUGGGCGAAAGCCUGAUCCAGCCAUGCCGCGUGUGUGAAGAAGGUCUUCGGAUUGUAAAGCACUUUAAGUUGGGAGGAAGGGCAGUAAGUUAAUACCUUGCUGUUUUGACGUUACCAACAGAAUAAGCACCGGCUAACUUCGUG
Molecule: ribosomal RNA, 483 nt
Filed under: uncultured bacterium
Lineage: Bacteria
Description: partial 16S ribosomal RNA
Rfam family: Bacterial small subunit ribosomal RNA
Source: RNAcentral